GGUUGCGAUCAUACCAGCACUAAUGCACCGGAUCCCAUCAGAACUCCGCAGUUAAGCGUGCUUGGGCGAGAGUAGUACUAGGAUGGGUGACCCCCUGGGAAGUCCUCGUGUUUCCACCC
RNAcentral lists this ribosomal RNA (119 nucleotides) under Helianthus annuus (common sunflower). The record is from RNAcentral. Lineage: Eukaryota; Viridiplantae; Streptophyta; Magnoliopsida; Asterales; Asteraceae.